GCCAGCAGCCGCGGUAAUACAGAGGUGGCAAGCGUUGUUCGGAAUUACUGGGCGUAAAGGGCGCGUAGGCGGCCUUGUCAGUCAGACGUGAAAUCCCCAGGCUUAACUUGGGAACUGCGUCUGAUACUACAAGGCUUGAGUGCGGGAGAGGGAUGUGGAAUUCCAGGUGUAGCGGUGAAAUGCGUAGAUAUCUGGAGGAACACCGGUGGCGAAGGCGGCAUCCUGGACCGACACUGACGCUGAGGCGCGAAAGCUAGGGGAGCAAACGGGAUUAGAUACCCCGGUAGUCCUAGCCCUAAACGAUGAGUGCUUGGUGUGGCGGGUAUCGAUCCCUGCCGUGCCGAAGCUAACGCAUUAAGUAUUCCGCCUGGGGAGUACGGUCGCAAGGCUGAAACUCAAAUGAAUUGACGGGGGCCCGCACAAGAA
Molecule: ribosomal RNA, 426 nt
Filed under: uncultured bacterium
Lineage: Bacteria
Description: bacterial SSU rRNA
Rfam family: Bacterial small subunit ribosomal RNA
Source: RNAcentral